CCCAGACUCCUACGGGAGGCAGCAGUGGGGGAUAUUGCACAAUGGGGGGAACCCUGAUGCAGCGACGCCGCGUGGGUGAAGGAGCGUUUCGGCGCGUAAAGCCCUAUCGGCAGGGAAGAAGGAGGACGGUACCUGACUAAGAAGCCCCGGCUAACUACGUGCCAGCAGCCGCGGUAAUACGUAGGGGGCAAGCGUUAUCCGGAUUUACUGGGUGUAAAGGGGGGGCAGACGGCAGCGCAAGCCAGGAGUGAAAGCCCGGGGCCCAACCCCGGGACUGCUCUUGGAACUGCGCGGCUGGAGUGCAGGAGGGGCAGGCGGAAUUCCUGGUGUAGCGGUGAAAUGCGUAGAUAUCAGGAGGAACACCGGUGGCGAAGGCGGCCUGCUGGACUGCGACUGACGUUGAGGCCCGAAAGCGUGGGGAGCAAACAGGAUUAGAUACCCCGGUAC
Molecule: ribosomal RNA, 447 nt
Filed under: uncultured bacterium
Lineage: Bacteria
Description: partial 16S ribosomal RNA
Rfam family: Bacterial small subunit ribosomal RNA
Source: RNAcentral